RNAcentral lists this ribosomal RNA (118 nucleotides) under Diaphorina citri (Asian citrus psyllid). The record is from RNAcentral. Lineage: Eukaryota; Metazoa; Arthropoda; Insecta; Hemiptera; Psyllidae.
GCCGGGGGCGAUAGCACGUUGAUUUCACCAGUUUCCAAUGGAUCACUGAAGUUAAGUAACGUUUCGUGUGGUUGGUAUCCGGAUGGGUGACCAUCCGGGCAAUCUCGUGCUACUGGCU